UUCUGUACUUAAUUGUAUGGAAUAUCACCUAGCCAGUGGGACUUUGGUAGAAUAAUGCCUUUUUAAUACCAGAGUGUAAAAACUUGAAGUGUUAAAUUGGGAUCACAUUAUUUUAUUGAAGUGGGGUUCUAGUUAUUUACUUGAGUAAAUUAGAGUGUUCAAAGCAGCCUCUUGGGGGCUUUGAAUAGAUUUAGCAUGGGGAUAAUAGAAUAGGAUUUGAUAAUCUAUUUGUUGGUUUGAAUUAAUCAAAUAAUGAUUAAUAGGGGACAGUUGGGGGGCAUUCAUAUUAAGUGGUUAGCGGUGAAAUGUGUGGACCCACUUAAGAUGAACUAAAGCGAAAGCAUUUGCCAAGGAUGUUUUCAUUAAUCAAGAACGAAAGUUAAGGGGAUCGAAGACGAUUAGAUACCGUCGUAGUCUUGACUGUAAACUAUGCCGACCAG
RNAcentral lists this ribosomal RNA (440 nucleotides) under uncultured eukaryote. Its description in RNAcentral is "bacterial SSU rRNA". It matches the Rfam family "Eukaryotic small subunit ribosomal RNA", at positions 627 to 1049 of the family's 1831-position model. The record is from RNAcentral.